Amphimedon queenslandica is the source of this 235-nucleotide long non-coding RNA. RefSeq lists it as uncharacterized. The transcript is spliced from 3 exons. NCBI's taxonomy places the organism in Eukaryota, Metazoa, Porifera, Demospongiae, Haplosclerida, Niphatidae. The record is from RefSeq and is a predicted model, not a curated record.
AUUAACUAAUGGAGCUAGAACUGAUAUUGUUGAUGAACAUGAUGAUAGCACUCCAUUGCACUGUGCUAGUGAAACUGGUAACUGUAAAAUUAUCAAAUUAUUAGUAACUAAAGGAUAUGCUGAUGUGAAUGCUGUGGAUGAGGACAACAGAACUCCAUUGUUCAAUGCUGUUAAGAAAGGUAGCAUUGAAGCUGUUGAUAUUCUAUUAACUAAUGGAGCCAGAAUUGAUGUUGUC